UACGUAGGUGGCGAGCGUUAUCCGGAUUUACUGGGUGUAAAGGGCGCGUAGGCGGGAUGCAAGUCAGAUGUGAAAUCCAUGGGCUCAACCCAUGGACUGCAUUUGAAGCUGUAUUUCUUGAGUGCUGGAGAGGUAGACGGAAUUCCUUGUGUAGCGGUGAGAUGCGUAGAUAUAAGGAAGAACACCGAUGGCGAAAGCAGUCUCCUGGGCAAAUACUGACGCUGAGGUACGAGAGCUAGGGUAGCAAACA
Molecule: ribosomal RNA, 250 nt
Filed under: uncultured prokaryote
Description: partial 16S ribosomal RNA
Rfam family: Bacterial small subunit ribosomal RNA
Source: RNAcentral